UUAUAACAAGGCCAGCCUUUGUGUAAACGUUAGUUAGGGCAAUAAUAUGACCCUCUCCUUAUCUUUCUAAAGAUGUAUUUUUCUCUCCACUGUUUGUAGACUUUCAAUUUCUUCUCAAGCUUGAUGAACGUGACUUCCAACCAACUUUUUCUGCUCAAGAAUAAGGGAAGGCUCUCUGUUCUGCGUAGAGCGGGAUAUGGGCUCCCUCCCCAUUUCAGUUUUGGCUUGUCGAUGUUGGUGUCAUGGAUUUUGUUUUUACUGAUAUCAAAGCUUCAAGGAGAGGAAAAUAUGCAGGAGAUCGGUUACCAGGAAUAUUGAUGUGUUGAAUCUCUAUUGGAUUUGCAUUUUUCUUAGGUUUAGAAGGUGUUUCUGUUUGGUGGGAGAGAUUCAUGCAUGUUUAAGAUGGCAAUAUAUCUAAGAUAUAUCUAAAGUAAAAGCCUUCCUUUCUAGCUGAAAGUGUUCCCAAAGGCUACCGGAGAUUGGGCGAGAGUGAUUACACCUAUUAUACUUGGAAAUAGAGCUGCUUGGAAGUCAGGUGAGGGCAAAUUACAGUUCCAUCCACCUAUUCCUAAUGAAGAAAGUUUUUUUUUUUUAAGAAAAAUUGAAUUCAACAGUCCAAAAAGGGUAAAAGAGCAGAUACAAAUUAAGGCUCUAGCAGCUAAAUCAUGAGCAGCAG
RNAcentral lists this unclassified non-coding RNA (676 nucleotides) under Hevea brasiliensis (rubber tree). The record is from RNAcentral. Lineage: Eukaryota; Viridiplantae; Streptophyta; Magnoliopsida; Malpighiales; Euphorbiaceae.